This is a long non-coding RNA of Periophthalmus magnuspinnatus, 2973 nucleotides long. RefSeq lists it as uncharacterized. Lineage: Eukaryota; Metazoa; Chordata; Actinopteri; Gobiiformes; Gobiidae. The transcript has 3 exons. The record is from RefSeq and is a predicted model, not a curated record.
ACAACUAGAAGGAAGCGAAACAGUACAGCAGCACAGGUCUGGCUUCUCCGCUCUUUUUUGCCAUAAAUAAUGCCAUCCGUGUCCUAAAACUUUCGCUACAUGUUUUAAACUUGUAGGAGCUCUUACCACCACCACUGCCGCUGGAUAUAGACCGCUGCUAGCGAUAUUAACGGGGGAUUUGGCACACUCUGCCCCCUCUGUCCACAGACUACCUACAGCCUGGCUUUGAGCAGCUGUUUGGAGAUGUACCAGGGGUCUGUGACCGAACUCAGAUGCACCUGGCUGUCAGUAUAGAGCUGUGAGCCACAAGAGGGCGCCAGAAACACAAACAUAAGGAAGGAAGGAAGUAUCGAGCACUUGAUUAAGCCCGACGUGGAACACUUCUCAGACGUUCUGUUUGGACGUGUAGACGUCAUCAUGAGCACCCCAGACUCUGAGUUCAACCUCUGUUCCCUGGACUCACUAGCUUCAGGCACCCAGGCCAGUUCGAGUGGACCAGGACACAGUUCCAGUCCUGGUGAGAGACAUCAUAAUCAGGACUGUCACAAUAACAAAUCUUAAAGUCUGAUGUAUUGUCAAAGAAAACGCUUAAGACUAUUGAAGCUGUUAAGGCUUUCUAUAGCAUAAAUCUUUAUUUGUAUUAUUAUGGAUCAUUUGACCUAACCUUCAUAAUACCAUCUGUUAUGUAUGUUAUGUUGUUAUGUCUUUUCUGUGCGUCUAGCGGCCUCCAGCCACUUUUAUUAGACUAAACUGGCAAGAUUGUUUUGGUGGUAUAAAUAUUCUGUAUUGUUUACAUUUGUCAGCUGAGGGCGAGACAAUAUUAUACAUUUUGAAUAAACAAAAAGCAGAAUGAAACUCAUUAGUGUGUCGAUAAUGAGUAUUUUCACGAUGCUAAAAUUUCAAACUUGAUUUCGAAGGAUAGACUCAAUGCCCAAUACUGAGUCCGAUACAUCACAAUAAUAAAAACAGACAGUAACUCAGUUGGUAGAGUAUUUGUCCACUGAUCUGAAGGUUGGCGGUUCGUAUCCCACUCAAUGUAAACAUCAUUGGUUGAGCGAUCAGAUCCACUGACCCACAGGUUGGCGGUGCAAUACACUGGUGUAUGAAUGUGUGUAUGAAAGGGUUGGCUGGCUCCAUGAAGUAAAGUGCUUUGAGUGUCUUGAAGGUGGAAAAGUGCCAUAUAAAAAUGUGACCAUGAUCUUCAGCUGUGCCAGAAUAAGUGUAUCAAGUAUAAGACCACAUAUGGUCUGUGGAACCUGCCUGGACCACUGAGGGAUUACACAGAUAUACGGCUGGGGCUAUAAAAGAAAGUAUUGUUUUUUUAUUAGCAUGAUAUCAGAAUGGAGUCUGUUCCUUAGAAUCAAAAUCAAGUUUGCAAGUUUAGUAUUGUGAACACUAUGACUCCAUAUUUCCACUAAUGUUAUGAUGAAUACAAUACAAUAAGAACUUUUAUUGCACGUUUCUUAAGUCUGUUAAAAUUGAACAUUGUGCAGUGGCAACAAAUACAUGAGGUCUGAAAAAUCUCACUGUCCUCCAAUAAGAAUAUGUUUGGUAUGAAAAAAUACAACCUCAUAAACACAAACGGCUGAGUUCACAGUCAGUAACAAAGCGCACCAAAUCAUAAAUGUAUUCUGUUAUUAUAGGAUAUAUUUGAACAUAGAAAGUCGUCUCAUUGUGAAGAGGCUCAGACUAGAAAUGUGUCUACAAAAAUACAGAUUAUUGUUACGAUAAAUGUUAUAUCAACUUAUGGUUCAGUAUAUGAAACCUGGAUCAAUAUUUUUACAUUUCUGGGGAUUUUUUUUUUUUGUGGCUAUAUGAUAAAAUUUGAGCUUUAAAAGGCAGAAUUAAUGACGUCUAUGGCUCAUUACAGAUGCAAUCUAACGACUGAAGUGUUUCAUUCUGCUGUUUAUUGCAGCUCAUGAUUUUUAACAAUAUUGUAGAUUUGGAAUAGUUUUUGUGGUUUAAAUCUGCUCUUGGGUGUUUGUGUCAGUGGAGUAAAUUUGUUUCAGUAUUAUUGUUUAUCUUCUAUAUUUGCUUCAGCGAUAUGUUAUCGUGACAGGCCUACAUGACAGUUACGCUUUAAAAAGUGAGUUGUGUGCAGUUUUUGGACGCUUGUCCAAUAAUAGAGCUGCAAGUUUAAUGGCAAUGGAAUUGAAAUCAUAAUUUAAAAGACUGUAGCUGAACACAAAGGCUGCAGUUCAGUAUCAGCAUUUCCUCCACAAACAACAAAGUUUCUUACCCCAUAAAAAAACUGCUAGUUUAAACCUGUAGUUUAUGUAAGAACAAACGUGUUCUGAAAUGCAGUGGUGUACAGAUUUUAAAGUGGAUACAUUUUAUUUUUACUUCACUGCAUCUGAGAGCAGUAUCUGUAUUUUCUACUCCACUACAUUUUUGAACUGGACUGAAAAGUAAAAGUAUUUUUGUUAGUUUGAGACCUGCUGAAAAGUCUGAGGGUUUAUUUUUAAGAAGUUCAUAAUUUGAUCAAAACAAAAAUAUACAAAUGAAAACUGGGAAAAAAUGGAAUGUAACAAAAGGAAUUGUUUUUGUCGAACAAAAUCCAGCACAUAUCUGUAUCAAAUCAUUACACUUGAAGCUUCAUAAAACCUCAAUCUGCACAAAAUACUUUUACUUUUUACUCUACAAUGGGUACUUUAAUACUUAUGUGGAUUUUAAGUGAUACUUGAGUAUUUUUUUCUCCAGUAUUUGUCCUUUUACUUAACUUUAAUUCAGUUUAUAUUUCAGUCUUUUUGUCAGUUCUUUUGUGUUUAAAUUAGUGGUUUAUGUUUUUAUAAUAGAAUUCUGUUAAAAGUUCACAUUUUAAUUUCAAUUGUCAGAAAUCCCAAUAAGAUACUUUUCCCAAAUGUUCAGCCUUACUCUGUUACUUUUCCGGUCCGUCAUCUUUUAUUUUUAUUUUUAUUUUUUUUCCCAAAUGUUUUUAUUAGGAACAUCAAUAAAGAAAACAAAUUACAUUGG